This 774-nucleotide long non-coding RNA is filed under the name Gossypium barbadense (sea-island cotton). RNAcentral describes it as "long non-coding RNA (GBAR_LNC008646)". The record is from RNAcentral. Lineage: Eukaryota; Viridiplantae; Streptophyta; Magnoliopsida; Malvales; Malvaceae.
GAACAAAUUCAAAAUCUUGAGAUCAUUGCAUAAUUCAUACUAUAUUAUAUUAUAAUGUAAUUUAUUUAUAAAAUAAAACCAUGACACUUAUUGUAUAGCCCAAAUUAUGCCCGGCCCAAAACCAAACUCUAGACCCAAUUACAAAGCCCAAAUCAGCCCACAACCUUAACUAAUUUUCAGCCAAAAAGGAAAACCCUAGCCACCAAAGUCUGUCACCACCCACACCUCCACUUGCUCCACUUGCUCCACUUGCACUGCCUCCAUCCCAUCAUCCCAUCACCUGCAAAACAAAUAGAGAGCAGAAACACGCAAAGCAAAAAAGGGGAAACAAGCAGAAGGCAGAGAAAUCAUGUAAUCGACUAUAAAGUCGAAAGAGAAAAUAAUAAAAAUAGGGGAUUUAUAUUUUCAAAAGGGGGGAACCGAGGAAUUUGUUUCAAGAAAUCGAUUCGGAUACAAAUAAUAAAAGGAGACAGUUGAAGAAGGGAUCAAAAGGGGCUAAGGUCUUUUGAUACUCUUAUUUUUUCUUUCAAAAACUGUUAUUCCUCUUUUUUUUUCUCUUUUUUUUUCUAUUUUACGAAGUUAUUUACAUACAUAUAUAAGAAUGCAAUAAAAAAGAGGAAAAGGAAAGUACCUGGAGUGUUCGGCCACCGUCCAUGGCGGAGGAGUAGCAGUCGAGGCGACAGCGCAACAAAUGGGUUUCUUUUGAAACCCUAGCAGAGAAUGAAAUGGGGAGAAUAGGGCUGCUCUCUCUGUUUUUUUGCAAAAGAAAGGAAA